This is a long non-coding RNA of Astatotilapia calliptera (eastern happy), 362 nucleotides long. NCBI's taxonomy places the organism in Eukaryota, Metazoa, Chordata, Actinopteri, Cichliformes, Cichlidae. The record is from Ensembl.
GCCUCGGACCGGUACCGGUCCGUGAGUCGUUUGGUACCGGGCCGCGAGAGUUGAGGCUCGGGUGUGAAAUGUAUGGCUUUCAGGGGUUUUUUUAUUUUUUUUUAUCGGUUUUUAGCGUUUACUGUGUUUCCCACUGAUAAAGACCUCCUCCAUUAACAUCCACGAAGUAAAAAGCUGCUGGCGAGGGUGUGCAAGGAUACGGCAAACCUUGCUUUCCCCAUUUGUUCCUUUCAAUCUUUUAUCAUUCACCACAAAGGCGAAACAUCAAAUAAUGCAUCAAAGAAUAUCAUUUAAAGGCUUCCCUGUUCUCCAGUGACGGUGACCACCAUCUUUCGGGAAGGUUUCCUUCUCUAACAUCCAGC